RNAcentral lists this ribosomal RNA (380 nucleotides) under Vacrothele palpator. RNAcentral describes it as "partial large subunit ribosomal RNA". It matches the Rfam family "Bacterial large subunit ribosomal RNA", at positions 1958 to 2623 of the family's 2925-position model. The record is from RNAcentral. Lineage: Eukaryota; Metazoa; Arthropoda; Arachnida; Araneae; Macrothelidae.
AGCAUAAUCAUUUGCCUCUUAAUUGGAGGCUAGAAUGAAUGGUUCAACAUGCCAUUCCUUUUAUUAAUUUGUUAAUUUUAAUUUCUCCUGUAAGUAAAAAGACUUACAUAAACAGGGGGACGACAAGACCCUGUCGAACUUAACUUAAAGUUAAGCUGGGGCGGCUAAAAACCAAAUCUUUUCCAAACCCUCUUUACCUAACCCUAACAAGGAUUAUUAAGUUACCGCAGGGAUAACAGCAUAAUUUACUCUUAAAGACCUUAUUUAAGAAUAAGAUUGUGACCUCGAUGUUGAAUUAAUAUUCUUCUUCAAGCAAAAUUUUAGAAAGAAAGUCUGUUCGACUUUUAAAUAAUUACAUGAUUUGAGUUCAGACCGGCGCG